Molecule: ribosomal RNA, 1447 nt
Filed under: Cutibacterium acnes
Lineage: Bacteria; Bacillati; Actinomycetota; Actinomycetes; Propionibacteriales; Propionibacteriaceae
Description: partial 16S ribosomal RNA
Rfam family: Bacterial small subunit ribosomal RNA
Source: RNAcentral
GACGAACGCUGGCGGCGUGCUUAACACAUGCAAGUCGAACGGAAAGGCCCUGCUUUUGUGGGGUGCUCGAGUGGCGAACGGGUGAGUAACACGUGAGUAACCUGCCCUUGACUUUGGGAUAACUUCAGGAAACUGGGGCUAAUACCGGAUAGGAGCUCCUGCUGCAUGGUGGGGGUUGGAAAGUUUCGGCGGUUGGGGAUGGACUCGCGGCUUAUCAGCUUGUUGGUGGGGUAGUGGCUUACCAAGGCUUUGACGGGUAGCCGGCCUGAGAGGGUGACCGGCCACAUUGGGACUGAGAUACGGCCCAGACUCCUACGGGAGGCAGCAGUGGGGAAUAUUGCACAAUGGGCGGAAGCCUGAUGCAGCAACGCCGCGUGCGGGAUGACGGCCUUCGGGUUGUAAACCGCUUUCGCCUGUGACGAAGCGUGAGUGACGGUAAUGGGUAAAGAAGCACCGGCUAACUACGUGCCAGCAGCCGCGGUGAUACGUAGGGUGCGAGCGUUGUCCGGAUUUAUUGGGCGUAAAGGGCUCGUAGGUGGUUGAUCGCGUCGGAAGUGUAAUCUUGGGGCUUAACCCUGAGCGUGCUUUCGAUACGGGUUGACUUGAGGAAGGUAGGGGAGAAUGGAAUUCCUGGUGGAGCGGUGGAAUGCGCAGAUAUCAGGAGGAACACCAGUGGCGAAGGCGGUUCUCUGGGCCUUUCCUGACGCUGAGGAGCGAAAGCGUGGGGAGCGAACAGGCUUAGAUACCCUGGUAGUCCACGCUGUAAACGGUGGGUACUAGGUGUGGGGUCCAUUCCACGGGUUCCGUGCCGUAGCUAACGCUUUAAGUACCCCGCCUGGGGAGUACGGCCGCAAGGCUAAAACUCAAAGGAAUUGACGGGGCCCCGCACAAGCGGCGGAGCAUGCGGAUUAAUUCGAUGCAACGCGUAGAACCUUACCUGGGUUUGACAUGGAUCGGGAGUGCUCAGAGAUGGGUGUGCCUCUUUUGGGGUCGGUUCACAGGUGGUGCAUGGCUGUCGUCAGCUCGUGUCGUGAGAUGUUGGGUUAAGUCCCGCAACGAGCGCAACCCUUGUUCACUGUUGCCAGCACGUUAUGGUGGGGACUCAGUGGAGACCGCCGGGGUCAACUCGGAGGAAGGUGGGGAUGACGUCAAGUCAUCAUGCCCCUUAUGUCCAGGGCUUCACGCAUGCUACAAUGGCUGGUACAGAGAGUGGCGAGCCUGUGAGGGUGAGCGAAUCUCGGAAAGCCGGUCUCAGUUCGGAUUGGGGUCUGCAACUCGACCUCAUGAAGUCGGAGUCGCUAGUAAUCGCAGAUCAGCAACGCUGCGGUGAAUACGUUCCCGGGGCUUGUACACACCGCCCGUCAAGUCAUGAAAGUUGGUAACACCCGAAGCCGGUGGCCUAACCGUUGUGGGGGAGCCGCCGAAGGUGGGACUGGUGAUUAGGACU